This is a long non-coding RNA of Patella vulgata (common limpet), 1083 nucleotides long. RefSeq lists it as uncharacterized. The record is from RefSeq and is a predicted model, not a curated record. The transcript has 5 exons. Lineage: Eukaryota; Metazoa; Mollusca; Gastropoda; Patellidae.
AAUGUAGCAUAACUGCAAAGACGCGACGAUGAUGGUGGAACAUAUCUUCAAAGAGUUCUAAAUACUUAAGAAAAUCAACUAUACUACUUCAGUAAGGGCCACCAGCUUGGCCCAAAGUGGGUACCGAACUGACCAGAUUUUGUUGAGAACCCUAUCUGGCUAAAGAACAGCUUGGUUUUGUAAAAGAAAUAUUAGCAGUCGUGGGAUAUUGCACGUACACCAUCAUAAAUUGUUCAUGUAAUGGAAGAAGUAUAAAUGGAAACAUAUCUCAUCAAGUAGUCUAAAAGUCACACUCCGUCUGUCUAAAAAAAUGUUUGAUGUUAUCUAUCUAAUACAAAAAGAAGACAGCUUAUAACUGCAGCAUGGCUUUUAUGAAAUGUAACAGUGACUCCCGGAUCUGUUGACUAGUGUUACAGGGAUUGUGCAAUAUAAUUGUAAAUAUCAUCUUCAAAACAUUAAAGUCAAAUGACAUGAAAAUGACUAAUCCAUGUUAAUCAAUUUUUCGUUUUAUUCCUCGAUAUUUCUAAGAAAUCAGGUAUGUGGUGUUAUUUCCAAGAGCAAGUACACCCUUGUCCCACCACCUUGCAGUUUGACUCUAUUUAAAAGCGUUCAUAAGACAUUGAUAGCAAGAUUCGAAGAAUAAUAUAAAAAAAACUCUCUUAUCAAAAGUAAUUUCCGAACAAUUUUGCUUGUGAUAAAUCUGCCAUGACCUAGAAAAACAAAAAUAAUUUCUUGAAAUACUGACACUAGUUUAAUAAACAUGUUUAGUUAUGAAACCAACGUCUUAAUAAAACUGGAAUAUAUAUAUAUACUAGAACGCAUUAAAAACAUCGUCUGCACCAAUUUACAUAACAAUUUUAGUGUAGUCUUUAUCUGGUCAUUAUCAAACUUGGCAAGUUGAUAAGCAUGAAACUGUUAAAGCUGUCAUUGAGAAAGAAAAACAGCAGAAUCAUAUAUAUUACACCGUCUGGUAAUAUGGCAGUGGGACGUUUAUAUUGUGUCUUUACAUGAUAUAUCACAAGAUAUAUAUCAACUGUAUAAAAACAGUUUAAUAUUGUAAGAUUGUUUUAUAAAACACCAAGA